GGAGGGGUUGCCGAGUGGUUAAAGGCAGCAGACUGUAAAUCUGCCGACGUACGUCUUCGUUGGUUCGAAUCCAACCCCCUCCACCA
This 86-nucleotide transfer RNA is filed under the name Alphaproteobacteria bacterium. Its description in RNAcentral is "tRNA-Tyr". It matches the Rfam family "tRNA". Rfam says of the family: Transfer RNA (tRNA) molecules are approximately 80 nucleotides in length. Their secondary structure includes four short double-helical elements and three loops (D, anti-codon, and T loops). The record is from RNAcentral. RNAcentral also lists the same sequence under 2 other names. Lineage: Bacteria; Pseudomonadati; Pseudomonadota; Alphaproteobacteria.